UAGAUGACCAUUUGGGAUUGACCACGCUGUCUGCGUCCUGUAAACCUCCUCAAAAGCGGUAUAAAAAUUCCGAAACCUUUCCUUGAGAAGAGUUCUUGAAGAAUUGGAAUUCCCCUCUUCCUUCAGUAUAGCGAGGAUAGAACUCCAGGUAUUUCUUUCAUAGUUCAUCUCAUGCUGCUGGAAUUUCCAGUUGUGCUUUCGAAUCCACCCAUCUCCAAGUAUAGACUGAAGAUUCGAAUUCACAACUUUUUGAGCCAUGUAAUGAAUGUUGUUCAUCAAGAAUAUGUGCUGCAAAGAAGCAUCUCUAUAUAGCUUGGCCUUGUCAUCAAGAUUGCAUUCUAGAAUUGAAGCAACUGAUCGGAAGUGGAGGGCCAGUGGUGAACCAUCGCACGCACCUUCUCUAGCGUUCUCUUCUUCUGUAGAUGGAUUAAUGUCAGGGGACAAUGACAUGGUAUCCUCUCCAUCAUGGUCCUUGAGGAGAAAAUUGAGAGUUUCCCGGUAGCCAGUGAGAGCAUUGAGGUAAUUCAUAACAUACUUGGUGAGGGGAUGAACUCCACCUCCUGCAAUAGGGUUUGUUGAGGUGUUUGUUGAAAUAGCAUUUUCAAAUUCGAGAAAUACUGCCCUUACAGAGUCCCCCAAUCUCCUUAGAACUUCUCGACAGUCAAUUCGAACACGAGCACCACCCUCAUUUGCAUAUAAGGAAUCUAUGUCUGGAAGAAGAUCUGCUAGGACCUCGUACAUAUCUAGUAUAGGAAACAGCUUUUCUGGUUUAUGGGGACCAAUAGAUACAGCUUCACCAAAAUUUAAAAGCCGCAGCAUUGAAGCCUUCGAAACCUCAGCAAAAGAAACCAAAUUAACUGUUCCCAGAUCCCCAAAAAUCUGUUCAGAUAGACAUUUCUCACUAGCAAGAUAGACCCGCACAAAGAUCUUCAUGGUCCGAACCCAUCUCCUGAUCUUGGAAUUUAAGCUGCCCCACUCCAAUCUCAGCACAUCUUCAAUGCUCAGUUUCUCGAUUUCAAGAAUAAGGAGAAACUCAUCCAAGGCAUCCCGUCGAAUCCACCCAUCUCCAAGUAUAGACUGAAGAUUCGAAUUCACAACUUCUUGUGCCAUGUAUUGCAUGUUGUUCAUCAAGAAUACGUGCUGCAAAGAAGCAUCUUUAAAUGACUUGGACCUGUUGAAGAGCUCGUAUUCUAAAAUGGAAGCAACCAAUCGAAAGUAGAGAGCCACUGGGGAAAUGUCGCAUGUGCCUCCAUUUAUGCUCUCUUCCUCUGUAGCCGUACUUAGCAGGAAGCAAUUGGAUAGCCAUUUUAGAAGUGAAGCAUCCAAUCCCAGUUGGAGAGAAAUUGGGGAAAAGUUGGAUGUAUCUCCACUUAUGCUCUCUUCUUGCAUAGCUGAACUCAUCGGGGAGCCACUGUAAAGCCAUUUUAGAAUUGAGGCAUUUGAUCGAAAGGAGUGAGCAAUUGGGGAAAAGUCGCAUGUGCCUCCACUUAUGUUCUCUUCUUCCACAUCUGAACUCUUGCAAGGGGAUGCUAACAUGGGAUCUUCCCCAUCAUAGUCCCUGAGGAGAAAAUUAAGGGUCUCGCUGUAGUCAGCGAGAGUACUGAUGUACCUCAUUACAUAUUUCGUGAGAGGGUGAAUUCCUUCAGAUGGAAUGUUGGCAAAAGAAUCUCUCGUAAUGUAUGUAACAAUGUAAUUCGGAAAUUCAUGAAGUGUUCGCCUCACAGAGUCAGCCAAUCCCCUUAGAACCUCAUCACUGUUAACUCUAACUCGAGAAAUAUCCUUGUCGGAGUACAAAGAAUCUACAUUUGGAUGAAGACCAGCCAGGACCUCGUAUAUGUCAAGAUUAUGGAACAGCUUUUCUGGAUUUAGGGGAUGAAUAGAUAUGUCUUUCCCAAAAUACUUCAAUAGCAGCAAGAUUAAAUCCCCAGACAAAGAAACCAAAUUAACCGUUCUGAGUUCCCCAAAAAUCUGUCCCGAGAGCCAUUUCUCACUAGCAAGAUAGACACGUACAAAGAUCUUCAUAUUCCGAAUCCAUCUCUUGUUCUUCGAUUUUAUGUCCAACUCUGAUUUGAAGUUGUCCCUCUUCGAGCAUAGCACAUCUUCAAUUCUCGGUUUCUCCUUUUCAAGAUUGAAUAGACACUCAUUCCAGGCAUCUCUUCGAAGGUUAAUAUAUGCCAGAGAACAUUCAUCACCAUAACCAGAAAUGAACAUCAAAUUUGCAAUUCGUCUGAGCUCAGAAAUGACAUCAUAUUGAACCAAAUCAAUGAUGAACUCCUCUGAAUUUCUGUUAAAAAUACAUCUAUCAUCUGAGUUCUCAACCAAGUAAUCCCCAGGAGAGAUUUUUGAGACUCUAUCCGCAGCACUUAAGAAAACAGAAGCAUGGUUUGGCUCAAAGGGUUGUCUGUUUUCAACAAGCGUGUGCUUGAACACCUCCUCAAGCCUUUUCAUUGCCAGUUGAAGAACUUUUUGAGCCCUCUGUAGCAUCUUCUUUUUACUGUCAUCAUUCCGACACAACAAAGUCUCCAGUCUUUCAUUCAGCUCUCGGACUUCACCAGCAGCAUUCAGAUACGCAGUAGCUUGAUCAAGAUGCGAGUCCCAGAUCAUAGGCCAAUUCCUUUCCCAACUCAUAAUCUUCUCCUGAAUAACAUUUAGCCUUUUUUCAAUCUUGUUAUUUUCAUCAGCCUUUCCUUCGCCGAUUGUGAUUGUGGUAGUUAAUUGGGUAUGGAGGUCGCCCAAAAUCUCCAUCUCGUCUCCUGUAAGAUUCUUUCUUGAUCUUAAUGCCAUCAUAGUUUGCUUCACCGCAGCAAUAAGGUUUCCUUCCCCUUCUAAUUCUGGAAUCACCAUGUCAGGGUCCCCCAUAGAUUACAAAUCGAAGAUCACCAACAAUCACAACCUCGAUAGUCAAUAAUCAGAAUAUUGAACCACAAAUCCUGAAUUUCAACUACACCUCUAAGAUUACCUUUCACGUUGCUAAAGUAGCCUCUAAACUCUCAGCUAUAGACUUCGAUUCCCAAAAAUCACAGCACUAACUGCUAGUCUGUUGGCUGGAAAUUUAGAACAUUAAUUUUCCAAACCGGAAUAUAAACUCUUUUGCUGGAGUUCUCUAACAAGUAACCAGUGAAGGAAAUCUUGAGUGCUUGCUGCAAUCAACCACCGCGAUUCAAGAACUGAUUACAGGAAAGAAAAUGAAAAACUGCAUGAGCUUAAGACCAGAACAAUGAGAACUUUCAGUACACUAGAAAGAAUCACUGUGAUCAACCGUAUCAGUAGACAGCUCAACAGUGAUCAAAAAACAUUGAAACCCAAUUCACUUGUGUGUGUGCAUUUCCAUAAAUUUCGAAAAAAAUAUCUUUAAAUUUUAUUAAUCAUCACAUGUAUUAAAAAGAAAUUAUUAAUAAUUAUUAAAUAUAUUAUCUUCUCUUUUAAGAAAUUAUACAUGUCAAAAUUUUUUUUUUAAAAAAACCUCUAUAUAAAGAGAAUAUUUAUCUCUUUAUAUGUAUAGACAUAUUAUUUUGUUUCAUUUAUUAUUAAUUUUCUUGAGAGGAUCAUUAUUCAAUCUUUAAGAAUCAUUGAUACAUGCUCACAGUCUCAAGAUCAUGGCAUAUGAAGGCUUAAUAAACAUAAACAUAUCUGAAAUGAACAGGGCCAAGACAUGCUAAAGACAAUCAAACAAAGAAAGGAAUGGAAGGACAACGCACAUUUUAGAUUUUGCAGUCAAGAGAUGAACAAGCAAGCAUCCGAUUUAUUUUCCUCAGAAUACUAGGAGCUAAAACUGACCUUUCUUUCGUAGCUCUUUUAUCAACUUAAGAAGACAUUGGAGCCACCGUCUCUCUCGGCUCUUCUUUUUCUAACCAGUUAAAAGUGUUGACUCCAGGGUUCAGCCAUAACGGUCUUACGCAGAUAAUACAACAUUUCUUUCCGACAGGGAAACAGGAAGUUUCCUCGCCGUGCGUGGCCCUCUUACAUGCAUUUAACCCCCAAAUAGUCAAACAAAUAUAUUUCUUUUUUACUUCUUUGAUUGAUUGAGGUCUCUUGUUUGGGAAUUUCUCUGCUCUUUGAUUCGGAGGGAAAGUUUCUUGGAUUAAUAAGGCCCAAAGGACUACAGGUGCGAAGGAACAUCCAUCAAAAUACUUACGAAGAACAGAUAGAAGGCCCAAUAAUAAAAAAUCGCAAGUUUAAUCCAAACCCAAAUGCAUCCAUGUGAGAUCAUUUGGACUUUCUACCCUGUUGCUCAAAUCUAAAAACAAGUUAAUAUGAAACUUGAUUAAAAUUUUUUUUUUAUUAAAAGGGUAUUUGAAAAUAAUUUUUAAAGUAAUUUUUAUUUGUAAAUAUAUUAAAAUAAUAUUUUUUUAUUUUUUAAAAAUUAUUUCUAAUAUACAUCUAAACGACGUGAAAAUAUGAAAAAAUAAUUAUUUUUUUAAAAAAUUGAAUUUAAUCAAUUUUCAUUCGAAUGACAAUCCCAAACAGACUCAAUUAAUUAUUAAUUUAAUAAAUCUAGUUGAUCCGAUAAAAACUCCAUUAAAGUCUAGUCUGGUCAAAAAAUUAAAAAAAAAAAACAAAUUACUUAAAGUAGUAUUUAAAACUUAGACGGGCUUAUGUUAACUAAAAAAAUCUUUACCAACUCAUUAAAACUCACAUGUAAUUGAUUUAAUUUAGUUUUAAUGUUCUUUAUUAAGGUAAUUAAUCUAUUAGAUGUUAUUGAAAGGAUUGACCUUCUCCUUAGCCUGUAAAUCUAGAUUGGAUCCGGCUUUGAGCCAAACUUGAAAAUCAAGUUUUUUAUUAAUGUAAAUUUUUAAAAAUACAGUGCUACUACAAAAACAAAAAUACCGCAAUUCAUCAAGUUUCUAACUCAAGUAGUCACACUAAUUGAAUUUAACAAUAUUUAUUAUUAUUAUUAUUAUUAUUAUUAUUAUUAUUACUAUUAUAUUUGAUAAUAAGGAAUAUUUUGAACCAUCUAUAUGUAAAAAUUAUUUAUUUAUUUAUUUAUGAUUAUUGUGUCUUUAUAAGUUGCGAAAAAUAAGAGAAACUUUCUACGCUGUUGAUCGCUAACGAGCACGUGAUACAAAUAUACUGUAAAGUGCACCGUUUGACUAUUCACGAGACAUCUAAGUUCUCUAGUCCAUUCUUCCUGUUGACUUUCUCAGGCGUUGUUGUGAAACGGGUCAGGUACAUUGCCUGUACAGCUCAACCAUGUACUUUAAAAAAAUGAAAGAAAUAGAAUAGUUUGUAUAAGUCGUGAUUAGAAGAUAGGACAUUCAAGUGCAUUUUCUUGGGAUGUAUCAGAUGACGCUGCAUCAUAAAGACUGCUUUCAUUUAACAGGGAGGGCGUACAGAUGUUCAAUUUGCUCAUGUUCAAGUCUCUUUCACUUGGGAAAAUUCAUAAGAGUAUAACGCGCUCUACCCUGUUAUCAUCUUUCCGGAAUCCAGACAGUGAUGGGCUAACAUGUAUAUCAUUGGAAAUGUCCCCACCUGGUCUUGUUUUCUUGCUGCCAUCCUUCCCUCUGUAGGAGGAGGACAUCGUAUGUGCUUGCAGACAAAACCAUUUAUCAAGAACACUCAACUUUCCCUCUCAACUCGGUCCCAGUUUUAAGCAGCCAAUUUUGAUAUAUCAAAGGCACAACAACCAUGUUAGAACGAAUUGCCUGUCUGCUGUGUUGAGGGUCAUGUGGCUGGUAAGGUUCAGAGCUCGGGGAUUGCAGUAAACCUCAUGGCCCCAGUUCUUCCAUUUAGUGACUCCUUCCAAGUCCCCAGAUGUUACCUGGCAACUGCAGCAGCAACUUGCAAGGAACGUGGGCCAGAUGGCCGCCCAGUUAAUUAACUGGGCACCGCCAUCGUACCUGAUUGGAUCAGUUACGUGUUACAUCCAAAUAUUCAAUCGAAGCCUUGCUGUGGUAAUAUAGUUCCAGAGUUGUCUUCUGGGAAAUUUUAUUUCGAUAUUUCUAAGAAAAUUAAGAAAUUUUACCGGGUGUUUAUUCAACGAACAGAGAGAGCAGGCGACAUUGGAAACAAAAGCUGUCCUCGGGGUAAUAUAAUGGACAAAGAUGCAUCCAAAACUGCUGUGGGGAUUGUGCAAUCACAAUCUAACCAGUUUAUGUUAGCCAAAGAGGACAAUGAUACAGGAUAAACCCUUUUUUUUUUAUUCCACUCAUACAUUACAUAUUGUAGAACCGAGAUUUUUCAGACAUUUUGGCUAGUGAUGGUACGAGCCAGGCCACCUUGGCCUGUUUAUCGAUCAAGUGCAAAUUAGAAGAGCGGAGGAGAAAGAAAAUAUUACAAUAGCAGAGGAGGUAUAAAACUAAAAGCCUAAACCCCAGGUUUAAGAAAUGACUCUAUGAUCUCCUGUGGGGAUUGUGCAAUGAUCUUUGAGACCCCUCAAAGAGAUCCAACAAGUAAUUCUGUAAAUCAUCUGCACUGUACUUGAUGUGCUUGUCACUAAUUUGAUUUGUAUGUCUUCCGACAAAUGUCCGGUAAGCUUGGAUCACCUUGAGGGAUGUUGAGAUUCGCAAAUCUUCUCGUAGAUGACCAUUUGGGAUUGACCACGCUGUCUGCGUCCUGUAAACCUCCUCAAAAGCGGUAUAAAAAUUCCGAAACCUUUCCUUGAGAAGAGUUCUUGAAGAAUUGGAAUUCCCCUCUUCCUUCAGUAUAGCGAGGAUAGAACUCCAGGUAUUUCUUUCAUAGUUUAUCUCAUGCUGCUGGAAUUUCCAGUUGUGCUUUCGAACCCACCCAUCUCCAAGUAUAGACUGAAGAUUCGAAUUCACAACUUUUUGAGCCAUGUAAUGAAUGUUGU
Molecule: long non-coding RNA, 6787 nt
Filed under: Populus trichocarpa (black cottonwood)
Lineage: Eukaryota; Viridiplantae; Streptophyta; Magnoliopsida; Malpighiales; Salicaceae
Description: long non-coding RNA (PTRI_LNC003849)
Source: RNAcentral